UAUACGAUCAAGCUAUAAAGAGCGUAUGGUGAAUGCCUUGGCACUAGACACCGAAGAAAGACGUGGUAAGCUGCGAUAAGCUACGGGGAGGCGCAAACAGCCCGUGAUCCGUGGAUUUCUGAAUGGGGAAACCCGCUGGUUCUAAUCAAUCAGCGUUAUUACACGAAUACAUACUGUAAUAAAGGGAACGCAGAGAACUGAAACAUCUCAUUAUCUGUAGGAAAAGAAAGCAACAGCGAUUGCCUAAGUAGCGGCGAGCGAACGGGCAACAGGCCAAACCAGAGUUAGAAAUAACACUGGGGUUCGGACUUGCAAUAAAGUGACUCUAUCAAACAUAGCCGAAGUUUUUUGGAAAACUAAGCGAAACAGGGUAAUAGCCCCGUAGGCGAAAUGUUUGUAGGCGCGAGCAAGUAUCCAGAGUAGCGCAGGACACGUGGAAUCCGGCGUGAAGAUAGGGGGACCAUCCCCGAAGCCUAAAUAUGAUCUAGUGACCGAUAGCGUAUAGUACCGUGAGGGAAAGUUGAAAAGAACCCCGGAAGGGGAGUGAAAUAGAACCUGAAACCAUAUGUUUACAAGCUG
This 579-nucleotide ribosomal RNA is filed under the name Clostridiales bacterium. RNAcentral describes it as "bacterial LSU rRNA". It matches the Rfam family "Bacterial large subunit ribosomal RNA", at positions 1 to 573 of the family's 2925-position model. The record is from RNAcentral. Lineage: Bacteria; Bacillati; Bacillota; Clostridia; Eubacteriales.